CGAAUUAGAGCUUGGUAAAGUAUUUCAUUUACAUUGAAAAGAAAUUAAAAUUUAAUUAAUUUGG
Molecule: transfer RNA, 64 nt
Filed under: Lethe albolineata
Lineage: Eukaryota; Metazoa; Arthropoda; Insecta; Lepidoptera; Nymphalidae
Also listed under: 1 other name
Description: tRNA-Val
Source: RNAcentral